RNAcentral lists this unclassified non-coding RNA (200 nucleotides) under Corynespora sp. Its description in RNAcentral is "partial internal transcribed spacer 2". Lineage: Eukaryota; Fungi; Ascomycota; Dothideomycetes; Pleosporales; Corynesporascaceae. The record is from RNAcentral.
UUAAGUUCAGCGGGUAUCCCUACCUGAUCCGAGGUCAAACUAUAGAGGGCUUGCUGGACGCUGGUCCACCAUAGCUUCAAGGAGCGCAAAUGUGCUGCGCUAGAAGCUGGCACGACCGCUGCCAAUAGCUUUAGGGCGAGUCCACGCACGGAGGCGGGACAGACACCCAACACCAAGCAGAGCUUGAGGGUGAUAAUGAC